Hibiscus syriacus is the source of this 790-nucleotide RNA transcript. RefSeq lists it as uncharacterized. Lineage: Eukaryota; Viridiplantae; Streptophyta; Magnoliopsida; Malvales; Malvaceae. The record is from RefSeq and is a predicted model, not a curated record. The transcript has 4 exons.
AUUGCGUAACGAAUGUUCUGAUUUACAUCUACUAUCUUUGCUGGAGAAACUUGUAUUUCUUCUAAUGCACAUUGCUGGAUGAUGACAGAUAGCUUUGGGAGCAAUAGCAAGGAGGAGAAAAUUACUGAGUGAUGACGUCAUCAUUUCAUUGGCCGAUAGUUCUUGGGAAUUCUUGACCUUUCGUGUUCAGAUGUUACUGAUUUUGGCAAAAGCGGAUGAAAUGUGCCAUUCUCUUCGGGCUGUGGAUAUAAGCCAAUGCAAAAAUGCAAAAAAUUACUGCCAAUGGUGUUUCUGAAUUUGUGCAGCACUGCCAUUCAUUGGAGACAUUGAGAUGCGGAGGGUGCUCAUCAGUGAGUCUACAGCUCGAAGAUGCCUAGGCAUAUUGAAGCCAAAGCUGAAUUAUGUGGAGGGAGAUUCUUGGGAGGAGCUCGAUACCAUGGAGAUUGGUCAUGGUGCACAGUCUGUACGUUGGCAUGUGUGGCCGAACUUGAUGAAGACUCAAUUGAUAUGUUGUCUGCCGAUUGCCCACGACUAAUCAUAAAUCCAAAGUUCUCACUCUUCGGGUUUAAAGGAACUGAAGUUCCUAGGGAUGCAUUUCCAGAUGUUGCUUUGGGUGAUCUUUUUGUCAAGGACAUUGAUCCCAAAACAUGGUCUAUUGCUCGAUCUACACCUAAAGCAAUAUCAGUCACUUCCAAAUGCCAAUGAGCUAUCCAUCGCUGAAAAAUUUAGACUCGCCUCUGUGGAAGGGACACACGGUUAGCUCCGAAACGUGCCAAAAAUGCUAGACAGC